RNAcentral lists this ribosomal RNA (436 nucleotides) under uncultured bacterium. Its description in RNAcentral is "partial 16S ribosomal RNA". It matches the Rfam family "Bacterial small subunit ribosomal RNA", at positions 29 to 507 of the family's 1533-position model. The record is from RNAcentral.
AGCGAACGCUGGCGGCAGGCUUAACACAUGCAAGUCGAGCGGGCAUCCUUGUGGUGUCAGCGGCAGACGGGUGAGUAACGCGUGGGAACGCGCCCUUCGGUUCGGAAUAACUCAGGGAAACUUGAGCUAAUACCGGAUACGCCCUUUUGGGGAAAGGUUUACUGCCGAAGGAUCGGCCCGCGUCUGAUUAGCCAGUUGGUGAGGUUAUGGCUCACCGAGGCGACGAUCAGUAGCUGGUCUGAGAGGAUGAUCAGCCACACUGGGACUGAGACACGGCCCAGACUCCUACGGGAGGCAGCAGUGGGGAAUAUUGGACAAUGGGGGCAACCCUGAUCCAGCCAUGCCGCGUGAGUGAGGACGGCCUUAGGGUUGUAAAGCUCUUUUCUCCGGGACGAUAAAGACGGUACCGGAGGAAUAAGCCCCGGCUAACUUCGUG